GCCAGUGUGAUGUAGUUGUUUGAGUGUUGGACUACGACCCUGAAGACUAGGGUUCAAAUCCCUGCUCGGUCA
This is a non-coding RNA of Phrynosoma platyrhinos (Desert horned lizard), 72 nucleotides long. The record is from the annotation of a GenBank genome assembly. NCBI's taxonomy places the organism in Eukaryota, Metazoa, Chordata, Lepidosauria, Squamata, Phrynosomatidae.